This 591-nucleotide ribosomal RNA is filed under the name uncultured bacterium. RNAcentral's name for it is "bacterial SSU rRNA". It matches the Rfam family "Bacterial small subunit ribosomal RNA", at positions 224 to 806 of the family's 1533-position model. The record is from RNAcentral.
GAUGAGCCUGCGUCCUAUCAGCUGGUUGGUGGGGUAACGGCCCACCAAGGCGACGACGGGUAGCUGGUCUGAGAGGAUGAUCAGCCACACUGGCACUGAAAUACGGGCCAGACUCCUACGGGAGGCAGCAGUGAGGAAUUUUGCGCAAUGGGAGCAAUCCUGACGCAGCAACGCCGCGUGAGUGAUGAAGGCCUUCGGGUCGUAAAGCUCUGUCAGGUGGGAAGAACAUCCAUGGGAUGAAUAAUGUCAUGGAGUGACGGUACCACCAGAGGAAGCACCGGCUAACUCCGUGCCAGCAGCCGCGGUAAUACGGAGGGUGCGAGCGUUAUUCGGAAUUACUGGGCGUAAAGCGCGUGCAGGCGGGAAGGCAAGUCUGAUGUGAAAGCCCCGGGCUUAACCCGGGAAGUGCAUUGGAAACUGCCUUUCUUGAGUACUGGAGAGGAAGGGGGAAUUCCCGGUGUAGAGGUGAAAUUCGUAGAGAUCGGGAGGAAUAUCAGUGGCGAAGGCGCCCUUCUGGACGGAUACUGACGCUGAGACGCGAAAGCGUGGGGAGCAAACAGGAUUAGAUACCCUGGUAGUCCACGCUGUAAA